Gallus gallus (chicken) is the source of this 735-nucleotide long non-coding RNA. RefSeq lists it as uncharacterized. The transcript has 4 exons. Lineage: Eukaryota; Metazoa; Chordata; Aves; Galliformes; Phasianidae. The record is from RefSeq and is a predicted model, not a curated record.
GCCAUUUGGUGGGUGCUGUGUCAGGGUCGCGGGAAGAGUUCUGCUCUCAUACCGGCUCACUGUUCGCCAGGGGGGCACCAAAAUGGCCGCCGCCCUAUGGCCCUUGUUUACCAAUGGGGAAGCAUCUCAGCUGAUGGCUCCCGGCAGUAUGAGGGAGGGGGCUCACACUGCUUGUGCCCUCUUUCUGACAGCAGGGGUGAAGCCUAUGUAUAUAAGCAGAAGGAGAAUGUGGCAAACAAAAGGCAAAGAGACCAAAGAGACAACCAUCAGAUAUCUGAAAAUGAGAUACUCAUCUUCAAAUGAGAAAAGAAGCCAAUUUCCGACCAGCGUGGACUUACAGAAAAUAAAAGGCACAAACAUAAGUGCAGCAGUGGCUAGAAUGUUCCUGAGAAGGAUGAGACUAACUGACCAAAAGAAAUCUUCUAACCUUCAUCCUAUGUAGACUUGAUGAAGAACACAGAGCUGAUGAAAAUGAAGCUGACUAAGAACUAGGACUACUCUCUAGAGACCUUUCCUAAAAAUGCUAUCAUCAGUAAUAACUCCCUGCUGAUAAGUACUUUUGAGACCUGUGAGACAGUUCUUAGUCCAUUUAAGGAUGUACUUUACUGACACUGCAUAUCCUUAUACUUUUAUCAACAUGUCAUGUAUAGCAAAUCAAAUGCUUUGCAGAAAUACACAAUGUAUUCCCUUCAACAAUAACUGUAAUAAAUAAAUAAAGCCUGUUUUUCAUAAAAA